GACGAACGCUGGCGGCGUGCUUAACACAUGCAAGUCGAACGGAAAGGCCCUGCUUUUGUGGGGUGCUCGAGUGGCGAACGGGUGAGUAACACGUGAGUAACCUGCCCUUGCCUUUGGGAUAACUUCAGGAAACUGGGGCUAAUACCGGAUAGGAGCUCCUGCUGCAUGGUGGGGGUGGGAAAGUUUCGGCGGUUGGGGAUGGACUCGCGGCUUAUCAGCUUGUUGGUGGGGUAGUGGCUUACCAAGGCUUUGACGGGUAGCCGGCCUGAGAGGGUGACCGGCCACAUUGGGACUGAGAUACGGCCCAGACUCCUACGGGAGGCAGCAGUGGGGAAUAUUGCACAAUGGGCGGAAGCCUGAUGCAGCAACGCCGCGUGCGGGAUGACGGCCUUCGGGUUGUAAACCGCUUUCGCCUGUGACGAAGCGUGAGUGACGGUAAUGGGUAAAGAAGCACCGGCUAACUACGUG
Molecule: ribosomal RNA, 468 nt
Filed under: uncultured bacterium
Lineage: Bacteria
Description: partial 16S ribosomal RNA
Rfam family: Bacterial small subunit ribosomal RNA
Source: RNAcentral